UAGAUGGAUGCCCGCUUGGCUUGGGCGCUUAGCUGUUAACUAAGAUUUCGUAGGAUCGAGGCCUGCCCGUCUAG
This 74-nucleotide transfer RNA is filed under the name Genicanthus lamarck (blackstriped angelfish). RNAcentral describes it as "tRNA-Asn". Lineage: Eukaryota; Metazoa; Chordata; Actinopteri; Pomacanthidae. RNAcentral also lists the same sequence under 2 other names. The record is from RNAcentral.